AAGUAUUUUCGGGGUUAGCUCCAAAAACUUGUUACCGCUUAAGUGUUACGACAUAAAAAAAAAAGAAGAAGAAGACCAAACUCUCGAAACUCACAGUCUUCUUCUCUAUCUCGCCUCUGUCAUGUUAUCUGGUACUUUCUUCAUGGCUCACACCGGACAAACCUAUAAUCGUCGUCGUCCAUGGCCACCGAAGUUGAAUCUCCCGGGUACGUUUUGCAUACCCCUCUUUCUUCUAUUAGUUAAGGUAAGGGUUUUGAUUUGGGGUUUUGGAUUAGGGUUUCAAUUUUUCCUCACUAUCCGUUUGUGUUAUAGGGUUUCGAUUCUGUAGACUAUCUGUUUAUGUAUCAAUGUGUCUCGAUUAGGGUUUCAGUUUGAUUUUGGGUUUCUCUCCUCCGUCUCUGUAUAUCUAAAAUUAUUUUGUUUGUUAUCUUUUUCUCUUAGACGUCUCUGCACCGUUUCUCUAAGCAAGAAGAAGCCUCCCAGUUAUCUCGGCAAAGAUGCUCACAAGUACACACCCUAAGUUAAAAGAAGGUUCGAGCUUCAGAAAAUAGUGGCUGCCUUCCUCCACCUUAAAGCUCGAUGAGCAUCUUCUCAGUCGCCUUGUAUCACCUUUUUCCUUUGAGUUUGUUUUACAGUAACCGGUACCAUAGUCCAAGGAUUAUACUUGUCUUUGCUGCCCUUGCGAUCGUGAACCUCUGUCAAUGCUCUCUAUAGAAGACUCUCUGGACUAAAUAAAAUAAAGGAGUCAGGUUCUAGGGAGCUAUGCUUCUUGAGUUAGAAGCAAAGAAAGAAGUCAGGUUUUUCUGAGUGACUCAGGACAAGCUGUUCCACAGCUAUAUCACUGGCAUAUAAGGCAUCCAGAGAGUCACAGACAAGUCCAAUACUUUUUCAUCAGGGUUCUCCAUACCAGUCAUGACACGCAUCCUUGACUUCACGGAAUCAGAAGGCUAAUUGUGGGUUUGUCUCUCUUCUCUUAUUGCAGACAAACUAACACAGAAGAUCACUGAAGCAGCAGUUGAGUUCAUUGUUGUUUCACAACACUUCUCCAACACUGAUCAUGAUGAGGAUGACAGCCAAAGCUCCAACUCACAAACAUCAGUCACACCUUCUAUGCGAGAUAGGCAUUUUACACGGUAGAUGUUCAAUAAUUUUGUUUCUGUUUCGUUUUUAUUUGCUUUUGUUCUUAAGUUUUUUUGUAAACAUUUGAUUAGUCCUAUAUGGUGUAAUGACACUAUGAUAUUGUUAUGCUAAUCUUAAAUAUUUGGUCA
Brassica napus (rape) is the source of this 1268-nucleotide long non-coding RNA. RefSeq lists it as uncharacterized. The transcript has 5 exons. The record is from RefSeq and is a predicted model, not a curated record. NCBI's taxonomy places the organism in Eukaryota, Viridiplantae, Streptophyta, Magnoliopsida, Brassicales, Brassicaceae.